RNAcentral lists this long non-coding RNA (371 nucleotides) under Naja naja (Indian cobra). RNAcentral's name for it is "lncRNA (ENSNNAG00000005726.1)". The record is from RNAcentral. Lineage: Eukaryota; Metazoa; Chordata; Lepidosauria; Squamata; Elapidae.
ACGAAUUAAGUCUUAAUGUAAUUUUAGUGCACGCAUGUUGUCACUGAAGAUGCUAAUGCACUCAGCCCCAGCCAUCUGAAAACCAUCCAGAAGUAUGAACUGCCUAUGGUAAAUGUUGAUUUCAUAUGGGAUUCCAUCAAAGAAAGAAAACUUCUGCAGUGUGAGAACUAUGAGCUAUCUCAAAGUCGGCCCUGUAAAACAGGUACGGCGAUGACUUUAAUGAGUGGCAAUGAUGACAGCCCUAAGGAAAAAGAUGUUUCUGAGGAGAAUCACAAGCAUAAAUUGGAUGUCAGCAGAAACUUACAAGAACUAAGAUGGUAUUCAGAUAAGGAUGAAUAUGCUCCAUGUUUUCCUAAAGAGUUUGAACUUGC